GCUACAGAGAUAACUGCCCAUAGCCUUGUUUCUGCCCUCCUGGGACUUAAAAUCCAGAGGAACAUAUUGGGCUGGAAAAAGCUGAGUUUUUAGAAUUAGAUAGGCUAGUGUUCAAGUUCUGGUGUGGCUACUUUCUAGCUGGGCAAUCUUGGGUAUGAUAGAUAGUCUCUCUGAUCUCCCCUCCUCAUUCGGAAAGGCAUGAUCACCAUGACCAUCUGGUAGGAUUUCUUGUGAGUACCGAAAUGAAAGGUGGAAGCAUUUGGCCCAAUACCCAAUAAGUGCCAAAGAAACAUUAGUGCCCUCCCCUUCACCAAAGCUUCUUCCUGGAUGGCCCACUGACCCCCGGUGUCCUCUGAUAUUUCUGGGGUCUUUCAGAAGGUGAGUAAUCACUUUACGAUGUCUGAGAUUUUUAGUCUUGACUGCUUUUGUUUCCUAAAUGAUGGAACUCCCAAGCCUUGGUUUCCAAGGAUUUGCUCUCCAUUUCUUUAUCACAUUCACAGAUUACUUCCCAGUCAAGUGAGAUGUUCAAUAGAAAAUUUAUUCCGGGACACUGUGGUUUUAGUGCACAGUUAAAGAAAAAAAACAUGGGAAAGAAGCCAGCUGGACUAUGAAAUAUUCAUUUGCAUCACAAAUAUUUACUGCGUUCUGUGUGCCAAGUACUGUGAUAGGUCUUGGAGGCAGAACAGUGGACAUGGUAGAUAAAAGUCAAAUCCCGAAGGCAAUUCCAUAAACCACAAAUAGAAAGCACACCUUUGUAUUUCUUGUCAUGGCUAUAGAUCUGACUGGGGUUGUAUGUAAGGAGGAGUGGCUGCCUGGUUCUCACAAAGCAUGGUGGUGGACUUAAUGAAUUCAUUCUCUGUGGCUAGGAGCCUGCAUUCCCCCUCACCUCCCCAUGGGCAAGCACUUUGGGAAAGCCCUUUCCCCAAAGCCUCCCACCCUUUCUCUCGCAGUCUGACAUUGCAGUUUACAUUUGGUGCUUCUUGAGUCCAAAACAAUUUCUUAAUUCAACAAAUGAUCACACAUCAUUCCCUGACUGUGUAAAGUACAGCAAAUUAGCACAGCCAAAGCAGGAAAUAUUUGCUCUGAACGUGCACCCGUCUUUGUUUUCACAGCCUCUUCCCAGUCAAUGGAGUGCAGAUCAUCUAUUGCCAGACACCAUGGUAUACACUAGAGUUACAGAGGUGAAGAGGCACGGUCCCUUUCAUACAAAAGUCAGUGUGAAAGGGAGACAGACAUUAACAGAAACACUUAAUCCACCGGACUGAGUUCCAUAGGAAGCAGUGACAUGGCAAAAGGAGUGGUCAAUUGUUUGGAGGGAACUAUGAGAUGGAAAAAACAGGAAAGAUAAUUUUCAAAAGACAAAGCAGCAUGCAUAUAAGGGCAUAAAUAUUUUUUGUUGAGACCCCCUUUAAUAGACUCUAACUCUACAGUUGUUACUUUGACACCCUAUACAGUAAAUCCAUAGUAUUUAAGCAGAUUCUAUAGUCAUCCAAAUAUUUGCCCAUAGCCAUUCUUUAACCGUGUCUGCUGCUAACAAAUGCCAGCAAAGCACAGCAUUGUCUUUGUUUUAACAUUUCCCUUAAAAUAGGGCCACCUUUCUGUUUUCCACCUGACUCACAGUGAAACAGAAAGACCUGGAAUGAAGUAAGUCAUUUGGUGCCCUGAGAUAAAGGACAGCACAGCCUGUCACGUGGCAGUCACGGGGGAAGUUGUACUGACAGUCUCUUAGAAAUGCAAAAACAAUAAGGGCACUUGGCAACCAGAAUGGAAUACCAAGACGUUGGCCAAUUUCCUCUAGGCUUUCCUGGGAGAGGUGGCUGUAGGAGGCUGGGGUGGAGGGGCUGAUCACAGGCUUGCUCUACUGGCUCUAGAAACCAGAGGUGUAACUGGGAGCUCUCUGUAACUUUCCAGGUGGUGAGCAUAGAGGCUAUGGACAUGGCAGGGAUUUCCAUGUCCACACCAAGGGCCCCUCCCUGAGCCUGAGCACGAGGUGGUGAGCUCUGAGCUCACUCCUGAAUCCCAGCACAUAAUCACUCAGAAGCCAGGGAAAGAGGAAGUCCUCCAAAGCGUGGCUGCCCUUACCCAGUGUUUUGUGGAGCCUACUUUAGGCAGAUUAUCAGUAAGAAUAAACCCUAUAGUGCUAUAAUGGGCAAGCAGUGAUACCUUUUCAAAGCACUAUUUUUUUCAAAUUGAACUUGUUUCUAAAACUAAAUUAUGGUAAUGGUUGUACUACUCUAUACAUUUACUAAAAAUCAUUAAAUAUCAUUAAAUUGGAUGCUUAUAAUGUGUGGAUUUUGUGGUAUAUAAACUAUGCCUCAGUAAAGCAGUUGUAAAAAAUUUUUAAAUCACACCUGUUAAUGGAUUCCCCAAACACUGUUUCUCUAGCACCUAGAGGUGGUGAUUUUUUUUGUUUUUUUGUUUUGUUUUGUUUUGUUUUUUUGAGGCAUGGUCUCCCUCUAUUGCCCAGGCUGGAUGGAAUAGAGUGGUGCAAUCAUAGCUCACUGUAGCCUUGAACUCGUGGGCUCAAGCGAUCCUGUCAUCUCAGCCUCCCAAGUAGCUAGAACGACAGAUGCAGCCCCCCC
This 2582-nucleotide long non-coding RNA is filed under the name Homo sapiens (human). RNAcentral describes it as "HSALNT0381600". Lineage: Eukaryota; Metazoa; Chordata; Mammalia; Primates; Hominidae. The record is from RNAcentral.